This 451-nucleotide ribosomal RNA is filed under the name uncultured bacterium. RNAcentral describes it as "partial 16S ribosomal RNA". It matches the Rfam family "Bacterial small subunit ribosomal RNA", at positions 354 to 796 of the family's 1533-position model. The record is from RNAcentral.
GUGGGGAAUAUUGGACAAUGGGGGGAACCCUGAUCCAGCCAUGCCGCGUGUGUGAAGAAGGCCUUUUGGUUGUAAAGCACUUUAAGCGAGGAGGAGGCUACCGAGAUUAAUACUCUUGGAUAGUGGACGUUACUCGCAGAAUAAGCACCGGCUAACUCUGUGCCAGCAGCCGCGGUAAUACAGAGGGUGCAAGCGUUAAUCGGAUUUACUGGGCGUAAAGCGCGCGUAGGUGGCCAAUUAAGUCAAAUGUGAAAUCCCCGAGCUUAACUUGGGAAUUGCAUUCGAUACUGGUUGGCUAGAGUAUGGGAGAGGAUGGUAGAAUUCCAGGUGUAGCGGUGAAAUGCGUAGAGAUCUGGAGGAAUACCGAUGGCGAAGGCAGCCAUCUGGUCUAAUACUGACACUGAGGUGCGAAAGCAUGGGGAGCAAACAGGAUUAGAAACCCGUGUAGUCC